UACGUAGGGGGCAAGCGUUGUCCGGACUUACUGGGCGUAAAGGGAGCGUAGGCGGACAUUUAAGUCAGGGGUGAAAUCCCAGAGCUCAACUCUGGAACUGCCUUUGAUACUGGGUGUCUUGAGUGUGAUAGAGGUAUGUGGAACUCCGAGUGUAGAGGUGAAAUGCGUAGAGAUCCGGAGGAACACCAGAGGCGAAGGCGGCCUACUGGGCUGCACCUGACGCUGAGCCGCGAAAGCCAGGGGAGCGAACGGG
Molecule: ribosomal RNA, 253 nt
Filed under: uncultured bacterium
Lineage: Bacteria
Description: partial 16S ribosomal RNA
Rfam family: Bacterial small subunit ribosomal RNA
Source: RNAcentral